This 256-nucleotide ribosomal RNA is filed under the name uncultured prokaryote. Its description in RNAcentral is "partial 16S ribosomal RNA". It matches the Rfam family "Bacterial small subunit ribosomal RNA", at positions 524 to 780 of the family's 1533-position model. The record is from RNAcentral.
UACGUAGGGGACGAGCGUUGUCCGGAAUUACUGGGCGUAAAGGGCGCGCAGGCUGUAGAUCAAGUCAGCUGUGAAAUGUCUGGGCUUAACCCGGGCAUGCGGUUGAAACUGAUGUACUGGAGUGCUGUAGAGGCAAGUGGAAUUCCCAGUGUAGCGGUGAAAUGCGUAGAUAUUGGGAAGAACACCGGUGGCGAAGGCGACUUGCUGGGCAGCAACUGACGCUGAGGCGCGAAAGCCAGGGGAGCAAACGGGAUUA